AGCGUAGACGGUGUGGCAAGUCUGAUGUGAAAGGCAUGGGCUCAACCUGUGGACUGCAUUGGAAACUGUCAUACCUGAGUGCCGGAGGGGUAAGCGGAAUUCCUAGUGUAGCGGUGAAAUGCGUAGAUAUUAGGAGGAACACCAGUGGCGAAGGCGGCUUACUGGACGGUAACUGACGUUGAGGCUCGAAAGCGUGGGAGCAAACA
This 206-nucleotide ribosomal RNA is filed under the name uncultured bacterium. RNAcentral describes it as "partial 16S ribosomal RNA". It matches the Rfam family "Bacterial small subunit ribosomal RNA", at positions 568 to 774 of the family's 1533-position model. The record is from RNAcentral.